GGCGGUGUGCUGCUCAGCCCGUUUUUGCUUUAUGUGUUGUUGGCGCUGCUGCUCACCGGCCUGCUGCGCCUGGUGGUGCAUGCCACACCGUUGGGGCGCUGGAUCUGGCAUGAAGCGCUGUUCGACGCAGCGCUG
Molecule: small RNA, 135 nt
Organism: Pseudomonas putida KT2440
Lineage: Bacteria; Pseudomonadati; Pseudomonadota; Gammaproteobacteria; Pseudomonadales; Pseudomonadaceae
Rfam family: Pseudomonas sRNA P18
Source: Rfam